ACUCCUACGGGAGGCAGCAGUGGGGAAUAUUGCACAAUGGGGGAAACCCUGAUGCAGCCAUGCCGCGUGUGUGAAGAAGGCCUUGGGUUGUAAAGCACUUUCAGUAGGGAGGAAGGUAGUGUAGUUAACACCUGCAUUAUUUGUACGUUACCUACAGAAGAAGCACCGGCUAACUCCGUGCCAGCAGCCGCGGUAAGUACGGAGGGUGCGAGCGUUAAUCGGAAUUACUGGGCGUAAAGCGCAUGCAGGCGGCCUGUUAAGUCAGAUGUGAAAGCCCGGGGCUUAACCUCGGAAUUGCAUUUGAAACUGGCAGGCUAGAGUCUUGUAGAGGGGUUAGAAUUUCAGGUGUAGCGGUGAAAUGCGUAGAGAUCUGAAGG
Molecule: ribosomal RNA, 377 nt
Filed under: uncultured bacterium
Lineage: Bacteria
Description: bacterial SSU rRNA
Rfam family: Bacterial small subunit ribosomal RNA
Source: RNAcentral